AAUGGACCCGGACAGUCGGUUCCGAUAUAUGAGCAACUUAUGUAGUCACAUCGCGCGCACGCCGGGUCUUGUAGAUUCCCGUAGUAUCUGGACAAUAACGGAGUUUGAAGGCAGCGGAUUUGCCGCUAUCAGGGAGAUUCUUCGAUCGACGCCUCCCUACCGAGGCGUAUCGAUCAAUCGUCCGACUCCAGAGCAAGCAAUUGCCUUAAUUGGUCUGUUUAGCGAGGUGGUUGAUUCUUGCCGGUACGUGGUGGUGGGUAUCUUAGUUCUUUCUCGAGAGUCAGACAGUUAGGAACGAUACAGAGCUGGACCAUUCAAAGGGGUACAACUCAGUUUAAUUCGGCGUCCGAGGUGCGGUCCACCACGGGAAGGUAGUUAAGGAAAUUCAAAGUCGGAACGCUGGUAUGAGGGGAGCCUUGGGUUUCUGAAACUAAAGAGUAUUACACGGCCGCCUCAGGAUAUUCGUUGUAGGCGGCUAGGGACCAGCCGUAGCAAAUACCAACUCUGAUCCUGCCAUAGACUAGCAGAAGCUCGGGGGUUGAAAGCAGAACUAAUUACUUUUGUAGGAACCGUUUACGAAAGUGUCAACAAGCAGAAAGUAUUUAGGUUCUUAAAGUGGAGACUGAUACUUUAUGCUUACGGGGGCUGACAGGGAUAAUUAGUAAUGAGGCUAGGCCUUCCGGUUGUGUUAUCCUGGCCUUAGGAUACUACAAUAGGGUACGAUUACAUAGGUCUCUCUACCGAACGAAACUCGUGAGAUUAAAGAAGUUUCAUUGCUACGGCCUUUGUACUGGGCCGGUGAAUUCCGAUCCUCGCGCUACGGCCGGCUUCCCAGCUCAUCCAGCCACGAGUGGCACUCCGCCUGGCCGGCUGGGCCGGGUUCCAGGUUGAUGCUCGAAAA
Molecule: ribosomal RNA, 901 nt
Filed under: Triticum aestivum (bread wheat)
Lineage: Eukaryota; Viridiplantae; Streptophyta; Magnoliopsida; Poales; Poaceae
Description: partial small subunit ribosomal RNA
Source: RNAcentral